Molecule: long non-coding RNA, 1354 nt
Organism: Dreissena polymorpha
Lineage: Eukaryota; Metazoa; Mollusca; Bivalvia; Myida; Dreissenidae
Exons: 4
Source: RefSeq, a predicted model, not a curated record
GGGGGGGGGUAGGAGAGAUGACACUCAAACAAGCUUCUCUCAUCAGUGUGAUCAACACCUGCAUCAGACAUCAUGGUAAACUGUUAUGACUCUCUAAAACGAUGCAGAAAGUUAAGGAUAGACCAGAACUCUCUUUAAUAGCCUGUUAAAAAUGUCUGGACAAAAUACAACAGUGUGAGAUAUAUAUGAAUAAGAAGUUCUCAGAUGAGGUGUUCUCAGUGCAUGGGAUGUCUAAGCACAAAGUGAGAAUAUUUAGUGAUUAAAACACAUGCUGGAUCAGCGGCGUCUAUGUUCUCCCUAAAGGAUAGGUUCUGGUUGUAGACUUGGAUAAUAAUACAGUCAAGCUACUGAACUAGCAGUACCAGGUUGUGAGUCACUGGAGUGUUGCUGCGUAUCCAAGGGACAUAUGCCAGAUUUCAUCCAGUGGGGUAGCAGUGGCUAUGCCUGACGGGGUCCAGUUUAUCACUGUCACCCAGAGCCAUCUGGUUCUUCAAUGAGCAGAAGACAGUUAUGCAGACUUUAUUAAGAUAAAAUCAGAAGGUAAUACAGAGUAGGUUCCUAAAAGACCAUCAUCAGUCACAGAUCGGUUUCCAGUCUAGCAGCGGGCUCUCUGAUAUGUUGAGCCAAGAAGGUUGGGGACAUUGCUCGAGCUUUUGCAGCAACGGACUAUUUGCUCAGGACCUAAAGGCGAACGCCUAACACACCAUACCCUCGUCGGUGUACGGCAAGUCUUACCCUGGUUCUCAUACUAUUCCGGCUCACAGUCUUCAUCCACAAGGAAUACAUUGCCUAGCUAAUGAACAGUGUCCGAGCGUGGAACAUUUAAGAGGAACAGGAUCCUGGGUCAGCAUGGUACCAAUCUAGCAAAAAAAAAGUCUAGCAGCUGCCCCCUAGAAGGAGCCUCGUUAGCCCCAGGGUGGAGUCAUGAUGCCCCUGGAUCAACAACUCUCCCGGGAUCUUCACAACAUUAAUAGAGCAACAUGGCCUUUCAGGUGCCUCUUGAUACAGCAAUUAUCUCAAAUAUCUCUCUGAUGGCGGACAGCUGUACACAUCGCAAAAUGAGCGCUUCAUGAUUAGCUGCCAGCAGUAUCCACGCAACAAACCUAUGAACACCCAACAACAGCUUCAUCAGCAUAAGGGGUCGAGUAAGCCAUCAACAAUGUUUGGGAAGACUAGGCAGUAGUUUGUUUGAACAUCAGCUCAGUAUGGAUUGUUUAUCAAUAUUUUCUAAUUGAGUUAAGAAUGUAAGUUGUAAAUUUUACUGCUUAAUAAUUCUUAUUUGAGAAGGAUAAAUUGCCAUUUUGGUGAAAGGGUAAUAUAGAGGGUUUUUGCUCUAAAUAUAGACUCGUAUUAG